GGUAAAGAAAAUACGAAAGAAAAAGAUCACAAGGGCUGCUCAUGUGGAGGGACUUGAUAAGCUGGAAUGUAAAAAGUCUGACUCAGAUUCAAAUUCAAAGUCAAGCGAUGAUUCUUCUUCCAAAUCUGAUUCUGAUUCUGAUUCUGAUAAGAAAUCUAAUCAUUCUGGUUUGAAAUCAGACUCGGAACCAAAAUCCAAUGAGGUAAUUAUAUUAUCUAAUUGAAAAAGCCCGGAUAUAAUAUAUAUCUACUUACACCAAGUAGCUUGACAUAGCAUUAUUAACUCUAUGAAAAAAAAAAAAAGGAACAAAAGCAUGAUUCACCUAUCGCUAUUUGUUACUCAUAAUACAUAAAAGUUCGUCUUAUAAAAGAAAAUCAAGUAAAAUUUUAUUAUGUGAAUAGUUUGUAUCUAUCUGUCUAAUAUUUCUAUAUCUGUCAUACAUAUCGAAGGAUUUAUAACUGUAAAAUAACAAGAAGUAGUUCAAUACGCAAAUUUCUUUUUUUUUAGCUGCAAUCUAGUGACGGCAAAGACUCCAAAAUACAGGUAAAGAAAAUACGAAAGAAAAAGAUCACAGGGGACGCUCAUGUGGAGGGACUUGAUAAGCUGGAAUGUAAAAAGUCUGACUCAGAUUCAAAUUCAAAAUCGAGCGAUGAUUCUUCUUCCAAAUCUGAUUCCGGUUCUGAUUCUGAUAAGAAAUCUAAUCAUUCUGGUUUGAAAUCCGACUCGGAAUCAAAAUCUAAUGAGG
Molecule: long non-coding RNA, 745 nt
Filed under: Ananas comosus (pineapple)
Lineage: Eukaryota; Viridiplantae; Streptophyta; Magnoliopsida; Poales; Bromeliaceae
Description: long non-coding RNA (ACOM_LNC031919)
Source: RNAcentral